RNAcentral lists this ribosomal RNA (490 nucleotides) under uncultured bacterium. RNAcentral's name for it is "bacterial SSU rRNA". It matches the Rfam family "Bacterial small subunit ribosomal RNA", at positions 28 to 513 of the family's 1533-position model. The record is from RNAcentral.
GAUGAACGCUAGCGGCAGGCUUAAUACAUGCAAGUCGUGGGGCAGCAUGAGUAGCAAUACUUGAUGGCGACCGGCAAACGGGUGAGGAACACGUACACAACCUUCCUUCAAGCGGGGAAUAGCCCAGAGAAAUUUGGAUUAAUACCCCAUAAUAUAUUUGAUAAGGCAUCUUAUUAAUAUUAAAGCUUCGGCACUUGAUGAUGGGUGUGCGGCUGAUUAGAUAGUUGGCGGGUAACGGCCCACCAAGUCUACGAUCAGUAGCUGAUGUGAGAGCAUGAUCAGCCACACGGGCACUGAGACACGGGCCCGACUCCUACGGGAGGCAGCAGUAAGGAAUAUUGGACAAUGGACGAAAGUCUGAUCCAGCCAUGCCGCGUGAAGGAUUAAGGUCCUCUGGAUUGUAAACUUCCUUAUAUGGGACGAAAAAAGGGCAUUCUUGUUCACUUGACGGUACCAUAUGAAUAAGCACCGGCUAAACUCCGUGCCAGCA